ACCAAACGCGAUGGGGUCGAUCAACACCAUCGGAUUGUCGAUCGACACCCUCAUUUUCAGGUAAGUCGAUUUAACCUAAACUUUAUCUUCUUCAUUUCAGUUUUUUUUCAAACCGCCGAAAUCACUCUUUUCUCUCUAGAUUCUCGGAUUCUUCACCGAUUCUUGUGAUUUUAGGCUCUAAUCUCAUUAGAAUUUCAUCCUACAUCUACCCCAAGUGUCAAUUUAAUCAAUCUGCAACAUGGCUGAGCAGAAAAAGAAGACAAGGAAGAGCGUUCCUCCACCUUCCUCCUCCGGCGCUCAUCCUCGCCGGAACUUCUCCACCACCGCUGGCCUCCGCCCUUCACAACUGGAACCACCAGCUGUAGCGCCUCAACCUCCCAUCUAUCGAUUUCCAUGGCCAAAGCCACCAAAUGAGAAAAUUCCUUCUCAAAGAGUUUGGGAAAAGGAUGUCAACAGAGAAUUCACUAAAGGUGACUAUAUCAAUCGCCUUUUUUCUCCAGAUUGGGAUGAUUAUGAUACUCUGUUCUAUAAUGCCUGGAUGAGUGUAGAAAUUUUGACUACUCGGGUUGCGAAUUUCGGUUUGAUGUAGUGUUUGCAGAUAGAGAAAUCUUGUUUAGGACUGCUAGAUGAUGUAGGUUUGGGAACCAUCUGUUGUAGGCAGUACGAUUUGUAUCCUGAGCUAGUUAGACAAAUCAUGGCUUCUGUUAGGGUCUACUAUGUGAAUGACAGGAAACGCAAUGCUCAGGAAGGAGCUCUUAUCUUCUUCAUCCGCGGUGUUAGAUAUAGUCUACCACUGAGAGAGAGUUGUG
RNAcentral lists this small RNA (809 nucleotides) under Arabidopsis thaliana (thale cress). RNAcentral's name for it is "ATSL202040". Lineage: Eukaryota; Viridiplantae; Streptophyta; Magnoliopsida; Brassicales; Brassicaceae. The record is from RNAcentral.